Molecule: transfer RNA, 85 nt
Filed under: Felis catus (domestic cat)
Lineage: Eukaryota; Metazoa; Chordata; Mammalia; Carnivora; Felidae
Rfam family: tRNA
About the family: Transfer RNA (tRNA) molecules are approximately 80 nucleotides in length.
Source: Rfam by way of RNAcentral
GCCUGGGUGGCUCAGCCGGUGGAGCGUCCCACUUCCGCUCAGGCCAUGACCUCACGGUUCGUGGGUUCGAGCCCCACUUCGGGCU